UACAGAGGUCUCAAGCGUUGUUCGGAUUCAUUGGGCGUAAAGGGUGCGUAGGCGGCGCGGUAAGUCGGGUGUGAAAUCUUGGAGCUUAACUCCGAAACUGCAUUCGAUACUGCCGUGCUUGAGGACUGGAGAGGAGACUGGAAUUUACGGUGUAGCGGUGAAAUGCGUAGAUAUCGUAAGGAGGACCAGUGGCGAAGGCGGGUCUCUGGACAGUUCCUGACGCUGAGGCACGAAGGUCAGGGGAGCAAACGGG
RNAcentral lists this ribosomal RNA (253 nucleotides) under uncultured bacterium. RNAcentral's name for it is "partial 16S ribosomal RNA". It matches the Rfam family "Bacterial small subunit ribosomal RNA", at positions 524 to 776 of the family's 1533-position model. The record is from RNAcentral.